CCUACGGGUGGCAGCAGUGAGGAAUAUUGGUCAAUGGACGCAAGUCUGAACCAGCCAUGCCGCGUGCAGGAGGACGGCUCUAUGAGUUGUAAACUGCUUUUGUACGAGGGUAAACGCAGAUACGCGUAUCUGUCUGAAAGUAUCGUACGAAUAAGGAUCGGCUAACUCCGUGCCAGCAGCCGCGGUAAUACGGAGGAUUCAAGCGUUAUCCGGAUUUAUUGGGUUUAAAGGGUGCGUAGGCGGUCGGAUAAGUUAGAGGUGAAAUCCCGAGGCUCAACUUCGGAAUUGCCUUUGAUACUGUUAGGCUAGAGAGUAGUAGAGGUAGGCGGAAUGUGUGGUGUAGCGGUGAAAUGCUUAGAGAUCAUACAGAACACCGAUUGCGAAGGCAGCUUACCAAGCUACUUCUGACGUUGAGGCACGAAAGCGUGGGGAGCAAACAGGAUUAGAUACCCGUGUAGUC
Molecule: ribosomal RNA, 460 nt
Filed under: uncultured bacterium
Lineage: Bacteria
Description: partial 16S ribosomal RNA
Rfam family: Bacterial small subunit ribosomal RNA
Source: RNAcentral